This 475-nucleotide long non-coding RNA is filed under the name Gossypium raimondii (Peruvian cotton). Its description in RNAcentral is "long non-coding RNA (GRAI_LNC009061)". Lineage: Eukaryota; Viridiplantae; Streptophyta; Magnoliopsida; Malvales; Malvaceae. The record is from RNAcentral.
ACCCCUAUUAUUGCCAAAGUUGCAGCCAUACCAUUACCUUGCCCAUAAACCAAUGCGAAGUGAACACUAACCAGCUAGUUGAUACAACGAUCACUACUUAUGAGAAGAUUCCAUAACAAUCACGGCCGAGCAUUCUUAUUUAACAACCACUCCAAAACAACGCCUAAUAAGUCUUCUCUUACUAACUGGCAGCAACCUUUGAUAAAACAUAUAUUAUACAUAUCUGGCCUUGGAGCUUUGGACUCAUCACAACUCCAUAUCACUUCCUUGAUCUCUUCCACCGUGAAAAGUAAUUCGAGUUUCAUUGCAUCUUCCUUGGGUAUCUUCUUAAAGUUCAAUUCAAUAUCUACUACCCAUUUUCUCGAUGUGCAACUAAAAUAAUUACUGAAGUAAUCGAACAUUUUUUUCUUCAACAACUUUGGAUCAUUGCACCAAGAAGCCUUAAAUUUUAGACCAUGAAGCAUCUUCUUUUUUG